Long non-coding RNA from Eurytemora carolleeae, 287 nucleotides. RefSeq lists it as uncharacterized. NCBI's taxonomy places the organism in Eukaryota, Metazoa, Arthropoda, Copepoda, Calanoida, Temoridae. The transcript is spliced from 4 exons. The record is from RefSeq and is a predicted model, not a curated record.
AUCCUAGGUUUGGCAGUGUUAGAGGUCUCUUCAGCCGACGUUCAAUAAAGACAGGGGAAGAAAUAACAGUUGAUUACGGGUAUAAAUUAUAUAGCGAGGACACGCCUUCCUGGUAUAAAGAACUUUAUAAACAAACCUUUUUGUAAAAAAAAUAAAAGAAAGAAGAAAAAAAAAUCAUUAUUAUAUCUUCUUUUUCAAUUUUAAUCCGAUAGUUUUGCAUAAACUCCAAGGGCGUAUACAGAAAUAAAUCUAGGGGGGGGCAAGAUUUGCGCGAAGCGAAAAAAUUU